Long non-coding RNA from Chinchilla lanigera (long-tailed chinchilla), 961 nucleotides. RefSeq lists it as uncharacterized. NCBI's taxonomy places the organism in Eukaryota, Metazoa, Chordata, Mammalia, Rodentia, Chinchillidae. The record is from RefSeq and is a predicted model, not a curated record. The transcript is spliced from 3 exons.
UUGGAUUGUAAUUUGUAACCAAAUCUCAGGCUCCCACAUUCCUCACCCUUUCAAAUUAUCGGAAGCCCAAACAUAAAACUCCUAGGCAUGUCUUCCACCUGCCGUCUCCAUCCCAAGGAGUGGCAGAGUCGUGGGAAGACCACAGCGUUCUAGGACUGCAUGGAGUCUCAGAGCCACCAUUCCAGGUUCCAUUUCCUCAUUGGGAAAAGAUCUUUAUGAACUGCUCCCAGCUCUCAGAUCUAAUUGUGUAACCUUGGGCAAGCUACUUAUCCUUGUUUCCAUUUCCUCAACUGUAAAACGUGAAGUUCUCACACGGACAUGCAGCUAAGAACGGAGGGAGUCUGUCUCUGAGCUUGUAGAGAGACACUGGCAAACAGUUGGUGCUCGGAACACGCUAAUUAUUGUUUUUGCCACCAUCCUUACACUUAUCCAAGGCAGAGAAGCUACCCAAGUGCACCUGAACCCUGGAAAGCGCGCUUGCCUCCCGCCCUAGGCAUGGAAGCAGAAUCCUUGAACAUGUCCUGCUCUGUAGCUCCAGGACCUCCUGCAUGUUUUUACCUCUGCAGGCAGUGAUGUUAUCCCCACACUUUUGCCUGGAUGUUUGAAGACCCAAGGUGGUGUCACCUCUUUGGGGAAGUCUCCCUAAAACCCCUCCAGGGCCCUACAUACUUAUGAAGCUGGUCUGGCUGCUUGUACUAAGCCUUACCGCCCUUUGGCAGAGGAAAAACAGAGGCACCUCUCCUAGGUCGUCCUUCACAAGGAUUCUGUGAGGCUUCUUGCAUGACGCUUGUUACACCAGGUUAUGACCACCAGUUGUUCACCUGCCUCACCUUAGACUGUAAAUUCCUUAGUGCGAAGGAAUGCGCGUUAUUCAUCUUUGUCAUCUCAGCUUCUGCAAGUAGCAUACUGUUCAAAAGUAUUCACUGAAACAUAUUCAAAUACAAACCAAAUUCACAACAUA